CAAAAAUCUAUGGAAAUUAUUCCUAUGUAAACUGUAAAUACGAAUUGAAUGAUAACUGAAAAUACAGAAAACAGCUUAUAAAAAAUCAGAAGCUCAUGUCUAAAUGAUUUCAUUUCUGCUACAGCCUUGUGAUGAGGAAACAAAAAUAAAUCAAAAACCCAUACUUCAAAACAAUAAGUUGCAGCUGUAAAUACAUGGUCUCUCAGAAAGUAGUAAUGCUUCCUAUUUGUUUCCAUGGAAACUACGACAGAUACAAAGAGCACAAGAACACUAGUUGAUAGUGCAAAUUCUCAGCAACAAAACACUUUUUUUCAACAUAGUCACCAGCACUGACUAUGCAUUUUCACCACCAAUGAACAAGCCUGCAUUGUAAAAAUCUGUGUCAUCAGAAGUGAUCCACUGUUUCACAACUGCUAUGUUUUGCAGCUAGGAAAAUGUUGUCCAUUCAUUCCAUCUUUCAUCAGCCCAAACAGAUGGAAAUCAGAAGGUUUCAAAUCCAGACUAUAUGGUGGGUCUAGUAGAACAAUGUGCUACACAGUAUUCACACUGUUAUGAGGACUGGUAUUAUUGAAAGAAAAACAUUUUCUUCUCUGGCCUGAUUCUGGAUGUUCAAGCCUUCAGCUUAGUCAGCUUUGUAAUGUAGUGGUCGGAGUUGAUUGUCUGAGUUUCAAAAAAACCAAUGGAUCACCCCUUUCUUAUCCCACACAAGAGUGCACAACAAUUUACCCACUAAGGGGUG
RNAcentral lists this long non-coding RNA (739 nucleotides) under Gallus gallus (chicken). Its description in RNAcentral is "lncRNA (ENSGALG00010018321.1)". The record is from RNAcentral. Lineage: Eukaryota; Metazoa; Chordata; Aves; Galliformes; Phasianidae.